CGAUUAUCCCUGCUAAGCCGGUGGAACCGACUCGCUGCCUCCACAGAUCGUGUUUUUACGAAGGAGACACUGCCCAUUGGAAUGGAUGGCACUGCAGGUGUGCUGCACCCAAAUCCCACCUUGGUUAUUAUCUGCCACGAGCACUGGGGCAAUGCCACUCUCACUCCAUCUGUGCUACAGAACUACCAGAACGUCCCCUCCAUGGCACAGUCAUUUCACCAGAACUGCAGUGAAAAUCUCUCUGCGCCGGAGUCUGUAAGAAUUUUGCUGUCAAUUUUAA
RNAcentral lists this long non-coding RNA (280 nucleotides) under Gallus gallus (chicken). Lineage: Eukaryota; Metazoa; Chordata; Aves; Galliformes; Phasianidae. The record is from RNAcentral.